Molecule: ribosomal RNA, 418 nt
Filed under: Salmonella enterica subsp. enterica serovar Typhimurium
Lineage: Bacteria; Pseudomonadati; Pseudomonadota; Gammaproteobacteria; Enterobacterales; Enterobacteriaceae
Description: partial 23S ribosomal RNA
Rfam family: Bacterial large subunit ribosomal RNA
Source: RNAcentral
GGCAUGCUGGAGGUAUCAGAAGUGCGAAUGCUGACAUAAGUAACGAUAAAGCGGGUGAAAAGCCCGCUCGCCGGAAGACCAAGGGUUCCUGUCCAACGUUAAUCGGGGCAGGGUGAGUCGACCCCUAAGGCGAGGCCGAAAGGCGUAGUCGAUGGGAAACGGGUUAAUAUUCCCGUACUUGGUGUUACUGCGAAGGGGGGACGGAGAAGGCUAUGUUGGCCGGGCGACGGUUGUCCCGGUUUAAGCGUGUAGGUGUGUGUUCCAGGUAAAUCCGGUUCACUUUAACACUGAGGCGUGAUGACGAGGCACUACGGUGCUGAAGCAACAAAUGCCCUGCUUCCAGGAAAAGCCUCUAAGCAUCAGGUAACAUCAAAUCGUACCCCAAACCGACACAGGUGGUCAGGUAGAGAAUACCAAG